GUGAUAAAACUACAGCAAUUAUUUGCCUUCUUCAAUCCUAUGCGUUUUGGGCGGGAGAUAAAGGAUCUGCCUUUUUUCCCCCGUUUGCGCCUCUCACUCCUAUUUCUCACCUCGCUCGAUCUCUGCGAUUCCAAAGAGGUGGUUUAGCGGGGUUGUUCUGAGACUCAAUCGGGGACUUGUUGGGAAGAAUGGGGUAUAUAGGGUCGCAUGGCAUAGCUGCGUUGCACAGGUACAAGUACAGUGGCGUGGAUCACUCGUACGUCGCCAAAUAUGUGCACCAACCGUUCUGGAGUCGCUUCGUUAAUUUCUUCCCCCUUUGGAUGCCAUAACACUUAUGGGAUUCAUAUUCCUAGCCAUUUCUGCUUUGCUUGGCUACAUUUAUUCACCUCGCUUGGAUUCAGCUCCUCCAAGAUGGGUUCAUUUUGCACAUGGAUUCAGCUCCUUCAGCCACCGUGGAUAUCGAUGUUUGGAUCCUAAAACUCAGAAAGUCUACAUCUCAAGGCGUAUUUGAUGAGUUUCCUUUUCCAGCUAAGGGUACAAAUCUCUCUCAAGGGUCCUGCACUGUCACGGCCAUCCCAGCUUGAUUUUGCAAUGAAAGACCUGGGUGCCUUGAGUUAUUUUCUUGGUAUUCAAGUCCUUAGAGAUCCUAAUGGCAUCCAUCUCAGACAGUCCAAAUACAUCCAAGACCUCCUCAACCAAGUUCAUAUGGCUGAAUCCAAACCAUAUCGAACUCCGUGCCUUGCAAGAACCAAAAUGUCUAAAUUUGAAGGUGACACACUUCCUGAUCCCACUGCAUUUCGGCAUAUUGUUGGAGCUCUCCAAUAUGUAACUCUCACAAGGCCUGAUAUUGCUUACUCGGUAAAUCAACUCUGCCAACAUAUGCACAACCCAACUUCUGUCCACUUCACAGCAGCAAAGAGAGUACUCAGAUAUCUCAAGGGCUCAGUAGAUUAUGGCCUCUAUUAUUGCAAAAGUCCUCUUCUCCUCAAUGCCUUUUGUGAUGCUGAUUGGGCAGGCAACCCUGAUGAUAGGUGAUCCACCACUGGAUAUGGAAUUAUCCUUGGUUCUAAUCUCCUAUCCUGGUCGGCCAAGAAGCAAAGUGUGGUUUCCCGCUCCAGUACCGAAGCAGAAUAUCGUUCCAUGUGCCUGACCACUGCUGAAAUGUAUUGGAUCCGUAUGCUCCUUAGAGAGUUACAUCUUCCACUCUUAUCUUGUCCGACUCUGUGGUGUGAUAAUUCCGGAGCUCUUGCAUUAGCUUCCAAUCCGGUGUUCCAUGCCCGGACCAAACAUAUUGAAGUGGACUUCCACUUCAUUCGAGAGAAGGUCACCAACAAGGAUAUUACUCUCAGAUACUUACCCACCUUUGACCAGCUAGCUGAUAUCUUUACUAAAGGCCUUACAGCCAAUCGAUUCUGUUUGUUGCGCACCAAACUGAUGGUUUGUCCACCCAUCAGUUUGCAAGGGGGUGUUAAAGGAUAAAACAGAGAAUACAGAGGAUACAGCAAGUUCAAAACAAAAUAAGCAUACUAACGGCUACUAGCCGUUAGUUGAAGAACAUCCUCUACAACUCAGCACACUCAUCAAGCCCAGUACACUCAGCAUCACAUUCCCAAUCCUUCGACUGCCACAAGUAAUCUGCUGCCUCAAGUAAUCGGUUGCCAACACACUUCUGCAGCAUACCAACAUUGCAGAAUCUUCAUACACAGAAAAGCAUGCAAACUGUCCAACAUGCAGGCCGUGUUUCAGCAAGCUAUCAACUCUCAAACCGUGCCUCUGUCUCACUGCUACAACAGUCUGCUUAGUGUAUAAGAUUAGGAUUACUUGGUUGACUUUCUUAAGCAUUGUAAUUAGCCUACGGUUUUGUCUUCUGUACACUGGUCAAUGACCACUUUACACUGAUGGUUAACCACUUGUAAUCGCCUAUAAAUUCUAAUGAAAUGUAGACUGU
Long non-coding RNA from Alnus glutinosa, 1948 nucleotides. RefSeq lists it as uncharacterized. The transcript has 5 exons. The record is from RefSeq and is a predicted model, not a curated record. Lineage: Eukaryota; Viridiplantae; Streptophyta; Magnoliopsida; Fagales; Betulaceae.